UCCCUUUCCAUAUGGCCUCACGGUCAGAG
Molecule: small RNA, 29 nt
Filed under: Bombyx mori (domestic silkworm)
Lineage: Eukaryota; Metazoa; Arthropoda; Insecta; Lepidoptera; Bombycidae
Description: ovarian small RNA-7321
Source: RNAcentral